AGUGAACGCUGGCGGUAGGCCUAACACAUGCAAGUCGAACGGCAGCACAGUAAGAGCUUGCUCUUACGGGUGGCGAGUGGCGGACGGGUGAGGAAUACAUCGGAAUCUACUUUUUCGUGGGGGAUAACGUAGGGAAACUUACGCUAAUACCGCAUACGACCUACGGGUGAAAGCAGGAGAUCUUCGGACCUUGCGCGAUUGAAUGAGCCGAUGUCGGAUUAGCUAGUUGGCGGGGUAAAGGCCCACCAAGGCGACGAUCCGUAGCUGGUCUGAGAGGAUGAUCAGCCACACUGGAACUGGGACACGGUCCAGACUCCUACGGGAGGCAGCAGUGGGGAAUAUUGGACAAUGGGCGCAAGCCUGAUCCAGCCAUACCGCGUGGGUGAAGAAGGCCUUCGGGUUGUAAAGCCCUUUUGUUGGGAAAGAAAAGCAGCAGGUUAAUACCCCGCUGUUCUGACGGUACCCAAAGAAUAAGCACCGGCUAACUUCGUG
RNAcentral lists this ribosomal RNA (492 nucleotides) under uncultured bacterium. RNAcentral describes it as "partial 16S ribosomal RNA". It matches the Rfam family "Bacterial small subunit ribosomal RNA", at positions 29 to 507 of the family's 1533-position model. The record is from RNAcentral.